UAGAUGGAGGCCUGCUAGCUUGGGCGCUUAGCUGUUAACUAAGAGAUUGUAGGAUCAAGACCUGCCCAUCUAG
RNAcentral lists this transfer RNA (73 nucleotides) under Dicentrarchus punctatus. Its description in RNAcentral is "tRNA-Asn". The record is from RNAcentral. Lineage: Eukaryota; Metazoa; Chordata; Actinopteri; Moronidae.